CAUUGUGGCGGUUUUCCUUCUGGCCCAUUUGUUAAGUUUUCAAAUGGGCCUGACCCUGCCACAUAGAUUACAUAGGAACUGGCAAAGGCUUGAUGAGAAAGAGAUCUCUCUCUAGCUUUUCUCGCCUCAGAGAUUGGCUCCCACAUGC
Molecule: small nucleolar RNA, 148 nt
Organism: Echinops telfairi (small Madagascar hedgehog)
Lineage: Eukaryota; Metazoa; Chordata; Mammalia; Afrosoricida; Tenrecidae
Product: small nucleolar RNA SNORA12
Exons: 1
Source: RefSeq, a predicted model, not a curated record